This 425-nucleotide long non-coding RNA is filed under the name Panax ginseng (ginseng). RNAcentral describes it as "long non-coding RNA (PGIN_LNC011337)". The record is from RNAcentral. Lineage: Eukaryota; Viridiplantae; Streptophyta; Magnoliopsida; Apiales; Araliaceae.
UUUCAUGGAAAGCAUUUUCUUUACUAUUUACUCAAGCAUUUUAGCUAGUUUCGAAAGCUCCAACAAGCAAUGGCCUAGCCCCUGGCUAUAAAGUAAAGACCGAGGACUUGCCUUUCCCAACAUCUGUCUCGCUUCCAAACCAAAGGAACUAAAUGCCUCCCUGUUCGGGAAAGAGGACAACAAGGGCUAGGCCCUCCCUAUCAAACAUUUGUAACUAACUACUGAAGGAAGCGGAUCGAUCGAAAGAGGACUCACUAUAGGUUCGAUCGACUUCUUUCUCUUGACUAUUGAGGAUCUUGAUCGGCUAGGUAGGGGAGAUCUCCUAUCCCAGUUCAGGCCAAGACGAGGAUACAGAAGUGGAUGGAGGGAUUGCCCUAAUACUUAAGUCAGGCUAAAAGGGAGAUAUGGUCUGGAAUAGGUAUGGG